CGGACGGGUGAGUAAUGUCUGGGAAACUGCCUGAUGAGGGGGAUAACUACUGGAAACGGUAGCUAAUACCGCAUAACGUCGCAAGACCAAAGAGGGGGACCUUCGGGCCUCUUGCCAUCGGAUGUGCCCAGAUGGGAUUAGCUAGUAGGUGGGGUAACGGCUCACCUAGGCGACGAUCCCUAGCUGGUCUGAGAGGAUGGCCAGCCACACUGGAACUGAGACACGGUCCAG
This 231-nucleotide ribosomal RNA is filed under the name uncultured bacterium. RNAcentral describes it as "partial 16S ribosomal RNA". It matches the Rfam family "Bacterial small subunit ribosomal RNA", at positions 99 to 334 of the family's 1533-position model. The record is from RNAcentral.